Molecule: transfer RNA, 71 nt
Filed under: Marmota monax (woodchuck)
Lineage: Eukaryota; Metazoa; Chordata; Mammalia; Rodentia; Sciuridae
Description: tRNA.Val
Source: RNAcentral
GGGGAUGUAGCUCAGGGGUGGAGCAUUGCUCCACAGGCACAAGGUCCUGAGUUCAAGCCCCAGCACCAUCC